This 1738-nucleotide long non-coding RNA is filed under the name Homo sapiens (human). RNAcentral's name for it is "non-protein coding SP2-AS1:7". The record is from RNAcentral. Lineage: Eukaryota; Metazoa; Chordata; Mammalia; Primates; Hominidae.
CACGCACGUGGAGGUUGGUUAAAGGGAAGACCUGGGUUUUAGUCCUGUCUCCAUCAACCUCAAGAAAUGGGACCUCAUGGAAGGGAGGGGAGGCAAUGCCGAGGAUGUGCUCCUGAGCAGGUGCCACAAUUCUUCACCUGUAAGGCUGAUCUAAGAAGAUUCCUAAUUAUCAAUUGAGAGCAGAGAUAUUCCACUUCCAAUUACAUGGCCUGCCUGCUCACUCUUACUUCCUAUUCACACUCUCUUGGAGACCACUUUGUGAUUCUACCAAAUUCUAUAGGAGAGGUGACAACCCCAAAGAGAAGGCUCUAGAAAGAUGACAUUUGGAAAUGUGUACGCUAGUGUCUGCUGGCUCCUCCUGAGCCAUUUUUACUCUGUGAAUGAGAUCAAAGGCCACCUAACUGCCUAAAUCACCACAAAGGGACAAACUGGUAUCUCAGAGCACUCAGCAACAAAAACAAGAAAGCUAAGCCUCUGCACUGCAAUGUGGCAGGGCUUCUGGCUAAGUAUAGCAAGCAAUUCUGAUGUGGAGACAAACAGCAGCAAUGGGAAUGAUAUGCCAAUGAAGGAUUCCAACAGUUGGGUCUGCAAGUGUGCUUGUCCUGUGACACAAACGGCCUAGACAUCUCAGCACUGCUUGGAGCUGCUCAUUGGGGGAGCCUAAGAAACAUCAGCCCUUUCACAACCUCUUGCUCCUGAGCAGAGCUCAUCUCCCAAGAGCACAUCAGCCCGCAGCCCAGUCUGAUGAGAAGCACAGUAUUCCCCUGUGCCAGUGGCAGCCUCAGAGCAUCCUGAAAGAGCGCUUCCUAGACACGCAGUGGAAGCCAUGACUUCCCCUAAGCUGCCGGUGCUGCCUCUGAACUCAUGUGGAGGUUCUUUUUUCAGUGUCCCCAGAGGCAGCAGAAAAAUCCGUUUUCCAUUUUGGAAUCUAUCAAGUAGGACAAAUCUGCCACCUGGGAGCAUCUCCUCAAGGGCAAUCUCUGCUCCCUUUCCUACAUGGCCUGACAAUACCCUCGAGUUAGAAAUGUCCCAUGUUGGCUAGGCACAGUGGCUCAUGCCUGUAAUCCCAGCACUUUGGGAGGCUGAGGUGGGAGGAUUGCUUGAGGCCAGGAGUUUUGAGACCAGCCUGACAUAGAGAGACUAUGCCUCUAUUAUUUUAAAAAAAGAAAUGUCACAUAUUUUUACCCUCUUCACUCAUCUUUCCACCUUGCUCCAAUAGAUUGCUGACAGAAAAGUGAGACCUCCUCCACCCCAAGGUCUCCUAAGAGAAUGCUGCUAGCCAAAAAAAGAUCUGCUGAUAAUUGAGGAAGAGCAUCUUUAAAAAGACACUCAACUACAUUUCAGAAACAUAAAGAUCUAAGUGUUGGCUCUACAAGGGAAGAAAUAAAGAGAAAGAACUUUUUUUCCUCCUACAACAGGUCUAGACAACGUCAUACAAGGAGUUGCACGCAUAUCCAAAACAAAAGCAAGGCAAAAACAAGCAAAAAAGCAACAAAUGCAUUCCAAAAUGAUGUCCAUUUAUCAGCCCAGAAAUGUACUGGAUACUGGUUUAGUUCAGCCUGUAGGUGCUGGGAAGAAAUUCCGACAAAUCCAAGUCAGUUGCAAAAAGGGAAAACUCCAGACAUAUCACCCAAUGAACUUGUAAGAAAGCAUAUGAGCUUCCCUGAACAGAUUUUACUCCAGGUUUGCAGCCCGCAAGAUUUAAGAUGGGGCCAUGAGGUUAAAUCUUGUAAACUCA